RNAcentral lists this ribosomal RNA (220 nucleotides) under uncultured bacterium. RNAcentral describes it as "partial 16S ribosomal RNA". It matches the Rfam family "Bacterial small subunit ribosomal RNA", at positions 27 to 229 of the family's 1533-position model. The record is from RNAcentral.
GAACGAACGCUGGCGGCGUGGAUUAGGCAUGCAAGUCGAGCGAGAAAGGGGGAGCAAUCCCCUGAGUAAAGCGGCGAACGGGUGAGUAACAGGUGGGCAAUGUGCCCCGAAGUGGGGGAUAACUCCGAGAAAUCGGAGCUAAUACCGCAUGUGGCCCCGGGGACCCCGGUUCCUGGGGCUAAAGGCCGGCUCCGCAAGGAGCAAGUCGCUUUGGGAUCGG